ACGUUUUCGUACCUCCGGGUGGACAGGGAGGACAGGUGGUGCGAUGGUUGUCGUCAGCUCGUGUCGUGAGAUGUUGGGUUAAGUCCCGCAACGAGCGCAACCCCUACCGUUUAGUUGCUAACGCGUGAAGGCGAGCACUCUAGACGAACUGCCGUUGACAAAACGGAGGAAGGUGGGAUGACGUCAAAUCAUCAUGCCCCUUAUGUUCUGGGCUACACACGUGCUACAAUGGCCGGUACAGACGGACGCAAGGCCGCGAGGUGGAGCAAAUCCUAAAAAGCCGGUCUCAGUUCGGAUUGCAGGCUGCAAUUCGCCUGCAUGAAGUCGGAAUCGCUAGUAAUCGCAGGUCAGCAUACUGCGGUGAAUACGUUCCCGGGCCUU
This 381-nucleotide ribosomal RNA is filed under the name uncultured Pelotomaculum sp. RNAcentral's name for it is "bacterial SSU rRNA". It matches the Rfam family "Bacterial small subunit ribosomal RNA", at positions 1006 to 1382 of the family's 1533-position model. Lineage: Bacteria; Bacillati; Bacillota; Clostridia; Eubacteriales; Desulfotomaculaceae. The record is from RNAcentral.